CUUGCUCCUUUGACGUUAGCGGCGGACGGGUGAGUAACACGUGGGCAACCUACCUUAUAGUUUGGGAUAACUCCGGGAAACCGGGGCUAAUACCGAAUAAUCUGUUUCACCUCAUGGUGAAAUAUUGAAAGACGGUUUCGGCUGUCGCUAUAGGAUGGGCCCGCGGCGCAUUAGCUAGUUGGUGAGGUAACGGCUCACCAAGGCGACGAUGCGUAGCCGACCUGAGAGGGUGAUCGGCCACACUGGGACUGAGACACGGCCCAGACUCCUACGGGAGGCAGCAGUAGGGAAUCUUCCACAAUGGGCGAAAGCCUGAUGGAGCAACGCCGCGUGAGUGAAGAAGGAUUUCGGUUCGUAAAACUCUGUUGUAAGGGAAGAACAAGUACAGUAGUAACUGGCUGUACCUUGACGGUACCUUAUUAGAAAGCCACGGCUAACUACGUGCCAGCAGCCGCGGUAAUACGUAGGUGGCAAGCGUUGUCCGGAAUUAUUGGGCGUAAAGCGCGCGCAGGUGGUUUCUUAAGUCUGAUGUGAAAGCCCACGGCUCAACCGUGGAGGGUCAUUGGAAACUGGGAGACUUGAGUGCAGAAGAGGAUAGUGGAAUUCCAAGUGUAGCGGUGAAAUGCGUAGAGAUUUGGAGGAACACCAGUGGCGAAGGCGACUAUCUGGUCUGUAACUGACACUGA
RNAcentral lists this ribosomal RNA (686 nucleotides) under Lysinibacillus sphaericus. Its description in RNAcentral is "bacterial SSU rRNA". It matches the Rfam family "Bacterial small subunit ribosomal RNA", at positions 79 to 749 of the family's 1533-position model. The record is from RNAcentral. Lineage: Bacteria; Bacillati; Bacillota; Bacilli; Caryophanales; Bacillaceae.